Molecule: ribosomal RNA, 494 nt
Filed under: uncultured bacterium
Lineage: Bacteria
Description: partial 16S ribosomal RNA
Rfam family: Bacterial small subunit ribosomal RNA
Source: RNAcentral
GACGAACGCUGGCGGCGUGCUUAACACAUGCAAGUCGAACGGAAAGGCCUGCUUUCCCUUGUGGAUUGCGGGUACUCGGGUGGCGAACGGGUGAGUAACACGUGAGUGAUCUGCCCCCAACUUGGGUAUAAGCCUGGGAAACUGGGUCUAAUUCCCGAUAGGACUGCAGGGUGGUGCCUGUGGUGGAAAACGAUUUUCUAGUGGUUGGGGAUGAGCUCGCGGCCUAUCAGCUUGUUGGUGGGGUAAUGGCCUACCAAGGCGGCGACGGGUAGCCGGCCUGAGAGGGUGGACGGCCACAUUGGGACUGAGAUACGGCCCAGACUCCUACGGGAGGCAGCAGUGGGGAAUAUUGCACAAUGGGCGGAAGCCUGAUGCAGCGACGCCGCGUGGGGGAUGACGGCCUUCGGGUUGUAAACUCCUUUCGACCGCGAGGAAGCCACCUGGUUGGAAGGGUGGUGACGGUAGUGGUAGAAGAAGCACCGGCUAACUACGUG